CGUUGCCUUAUAAGCCGUUCCCUCCAUUCGUUCCUUGCGGGAAGCGACGUCCAAAGCAAUCGAAGCCUCGUGGUUUUUGGCGUGGCCUGUUUGGCUGUAUCGCGCCGUUCCCUCCGUUCGUUCCUGGCGGAGCGACGUCCAAAGACCUACAGAAGGGCUCUUUAUGUCCCUCUGUCCGGUGGUGGUCGCAAGCGAGGCCUGCACCGUUAUUGCCAUCACCAUAGUCUGAAGACCUACAGCAGGGCUCUGCCUGGCUCUGCGUCCCUCUGUCCAGUGGUGGUCGCAAGCGAGGCCUGC
Molecule: long non-coding RNA, 297 nt
Organism: Ixodes scapularis (black-legged tick)
Lineage: Eukaryota; Metazoa; Arthropoda; Arachnida; Ixodida; Ixodidae
Exons: 4
Source: RefSeq, a predicted model, not a curated record